AUCUAAUUGGCAGAAAAGUGCAUUAAGUUUAAGCCUUAAAUAUAAUUUUCUAAUUAAUAUGUA
This 63-nucleotide transfer RNA is filed under the name Ebrechtella tricuspidata. RNAcentral's name for it is "tRNA-Leu". Lineage: Eukaryota; Metazoa; Arthropoda; Arachnida; Araneae; Thomisidae. The record is from RNAcentral.